This 590-nucleotide ribosomal RNA is filed under the name fungal sp. ARIZ L68. RNAcentral describes it as "eukaryotic LSU rRNA". The stretch from base 267 to 420 matches the Rfam family "5.8S ribosomal RNA". Lineage: Eukaryota; Fungi. The record is from RNAcentral.
UCUUGGUCAUUUAGAGGAAGUAAAAGUCGUAACAAGGUCUCCGUUGGUGAACCAGCGGAGGGAUCAUUACCGAGUUUACAACUCCCAAACCCAAUGUGAACGUUACCAAACUGUUGCCUCGGCGGGAUCUCUGCCCCGGGUGCGUCGCAGCCCCGGACCAAGGCGCCCGCCGGAGGACCAACCAAAACUCUUUUGUAUACCCCCUCGCGGGUUUUUAUAUCUGAGCCAUCUCGGCGCCUCUCGUAGGCGUUUCGAAAAUGAAUCAAAACUUUCAACAACGGAUCUCUUGGUUCUGGCAUCGAUGAAGAACGCAGCGAAAUGCGAUAAGUAAUGUGAAUUGCAGAAUUCAGUGAAUCAUCGAAUCUUUGAACGCACAUUGCGCCCGCCAGUAUUCUGGCGGGCAUGCCUGUCCGAGCGUCAUUUCAACCCUCGAACCCCUCCGGGGGGUCGGCGUUGGGGAUCGGCCCUUUACGGGGCCGGCCCCGAAAUACAGUGGCGGUCUCGCCGCAGCCUCUCCUGCGCAGUAGUUUGCACACUCGCAUCGGGAGCGCGGCGCGUCCAUUGCCGUAAAACACCCAACUUUCUGAAAU